GGGGGGUAUAGCUCAGUUGGUAGAGCGCCUGCUUUGCGAGCAGGAUGUCAGCGGUUCGAGUCCGCUUACCUCCA
RNAcentral lists this transfer RNA (74 nucleotides) under uncultured cyanobacterium. Its description in RNAcentral is "tRNA-Ala". It matches the Rfam family "tRNA". From Rfam's summary of the family: Transfer RNA (tRNA) molecules are approximately 80 nucleotides in length. The record is from RNAcentral. Lineage: Bacteria; Bacillati; Cyanobacteriota.